Molecule: ribosomal RNA, 301 nt
Filed under: uncultured bacterium
Lineage: Bacteria
Description: partial 16S ribosomal RNA
Rfam family: Bacterial small subunit ribosomal RNA
Source: RNAcentral
CAGCAGCCACGGUAAUACGUAGGUGGCGAGCGUUAAUCGGAAUUACUGGGCGUAAAGCGUGCGCAGGCGGUUUUGUAAGACAGGCGUGAAAUCCCCGGGCUCAACCUGGGAAUGGCGCUUGUGACUGCAAAGCUAGAGUGCGGCAGAGGGGGAUGGAAUUCCGCGUGUAGCAAUGAAAUGCGUAGAUAUGCGGAGGAACACCGAUGGCGAAGGCAAUCCCCUGGGCCUGCACUGACGCUCAUGCACGAAAGCGUGGGGAGCAAACAGGAUUAGAUACCCGCGUAGUCCCUGUCUCUUAUAC